Molecule: ribosomal RNA, 469 nt
Filed under: uncultured bacterium
Lineage: Bacteria
Description: partial 16S ribosomal RNA
Rfam family: Bacterial small subunit ribosomal RNA
Source: RNAcentral
GACGAACGCUGGCGGCGUGCUUAACACAUGCAAGUCGAACGGAAAGGCCCUGCUUGCAGGGUGCUCGAGUGGCGAACGGGUGAGUAACACGUGGGUGAUCUGCCCCUUACUUUGGGAUAAGCCUGGGAAACUGGGUCUAAUACUGGAUAGGACCAUGCUGUAGGUGGUGUGGUGGAAAGAUUAGUUUCGGUAAGGGAUGAGCUCGCGGCCUAUCAGCUUGUUGGUGGGGUAAUGGCCUACCAAGGCGUCGACGGGUAGCCGGCCUGAGAGGGUGGACGGCCACGUUGAGACUGAGAUACGGCCCAGACGCCUGCGGGAGGCAGCAGUGGGGAAUAUUGCACAAUGGGCGCAAGCCUGAUGCAGCGACGCCGCGUGGGGGAUGACGGCCUUCGGGUUGUAAACUCCUUUCGGCCAUGACGAAGCGCUUGUGGUGACGGUAGUGGUAGAAGAAGCACCGGCUAACUACGUG